This is a long non-coding RNA of Hydra vulgaris (swiftwater hydra), 2790 nucleotides long. RefSeq lists it as uncharacterized. NCBI's taxonomy places the organism in Eukaryota, Metazoa, Cnidaria, Hydrozoa, Anthoathecata, Hydridae. The record is from RefSeq and is a predicted model, not a curated record.
AACCAGUUCUUUACUCCGUUCCUCAAUAAAGGAACUCGUUUCAGGAAUCCGUUCCUUUUGGAACGCGUUCUUCCAAACACUGUUCACAUUUAAUCCCUUUUUCUUGCACAAUCAAGCAAUUUGCAACAAUUAAAAAACCUCGUUCGUAGUGUACUAAAAGUAAAGCAUAAUAUUCAAAAAAGGAAUGUAAAGCAUCACAUUCUUUUUUCAGAAAUUGUUGUUAAGCCUAUUGAUAAAGGAAGUUGGUUGGUUCUGAUGAUGCGGAUUACUAUAGAGAUAAACUUGUAUAUUGAGUACAUUUAUUAACGGAAAUAUAUAAUAAAACUUUUAGAUAUGAUUCUAAUAGUUUAACAUCUGUGAGAUCUUUUAAAUCAUAACCUUAUUGCUCAGGUUUAUGAAAAGCUAUUUAUAAAAAUUCAACGCUAAAAAAAUAAUGUAAGAUUAAAGGUAAUUCCUGUUUUAUUUAAAAGGUACGUUAAUGAUUAGUUCAAGUCUUUAAAGUUAAAAUUAGUUAAAAAAGAAUUAAAAUUGUUCUGUUUUUAUCUUCUGUUCUAUAUCUAAAAGCUAUUGAAAUAUUUAUUGCAUUAUUAUUCAUUUAUUUUAUAUGUUACGAAAGACCUACUAAGCCUGAAGUUUUACAGGUCGAAAUAUAUAUGUCAGCAAAAAAGUAAACAACUGUAUAAUAUAUAGAAUAGAAUACAAAUACAUGAAUAUUAUAUAUGUAUUUGAAAAAUAGUAUAUAUGUAUUAGUAAACUAAAUGACUAAACUUAUUUAAAACACUUUUAACAUGUUUAGUUACAAGUUAGUGUUAUGUUUUGAUGUAUCUCAACCAAAUAAGUGUUAAAAUUUCAGCAAAAUGUCAUAUCGCCAGGCUGUUUGGUUGGAAGAAACAAAAGUUUGAUAUUUUCUUGAGUUGUUAUUUUAUUUUGUGAUAUUAUAAUUUACAUUCACAAAAUAGUAAAUAAUUUACUUGUUAAAUUUAUUUUUCAUUGCUUUGGAUGUUUUGUUAUUCUUUUUACAGAUUGUUAUGAGGAUUGCAAAAAUUUUUAAUAACUGAAACUGAAGAAGACAUUGAUAAUUAGCAGAUAACAAAAAAGCGCAAAAGUACUGAUUAUACAACUCUAGUUUGUCAAUAUUUAUAUAGAAACUAAUAAUAUAUAAACUUAAAAUGAUAACAUAUACUAAAUAUAUAAACUGCUAAAAAAUAUGCAAAAAUAUAUAAACUUAUUAUUAAUCUAUAAUUUUGCAUUAUUCUAAUCUAAAUUAAAUUUUUUCAUAAUUUCAUCGGAGUUAAUAUUACUAGUAAUAUUACUAUAAUUACAGUAGAAAUGAUUAAUUAUGGAAAAAUUGCACAAAAAAUAAUGUUGUGUAUAUAUAUUUAUAUUAUGUAAUAUAUUAUAAAUUUAAAAGUAAUAGUCUUAUUUAGUUUGCUCUAAUUUUUAAGUAUAAAAAAAAGAAGAAAGUUUUAAUAAGUAAAUGAUAAACCAUUUUUACGGUAUAGUAAAAUAGUUUUUAUUUUUCAGUUGAGGAAGAAUUUUAUGUUAAUAUUAAUGCAAAAGGUUCGAAUAUUGACAGGUUAGCUAAUUUGAUGUUACAAUAAACAUAAUAUUAAGUAUGUGAAGAUAUAGCAUACAUCCAUGAUGCAUACAAGUAUAAAAAAAAAUUACAAAUACUCAAUUAUACAAAAAGAUUAUGGAUGUGGUACCACAAGUAUAUAUAAUUGAUUAUGCAAGUAAGUUGUCGUACUUUAAAUAUUUGAAGACUAAUAAUAAUUGUAAUAAACAUAUCUCUGUAAUUAACAGUAUACACUUGGAUUUACAUUUUAGUUAAAUCAUCACCACUUCAACAGCCAUCUUGUCUCAAGCAUUCAAUUGCAUUCUAAGAUAUCUUUAUUUAAAUCAAGUGUGACUACUAUACCAAAAUAAUGUAGAAUGGUCCAAUUAUGUAAGAUGUCUAAAUUUAUAUCUUUUAUAUAGAACUCCUUUACUUUAGGUAACUCCGGUUAAUUUUAUGACUUAUGAACAUAUUUAGCAAUAUAAUCCUUUUACGAUAGACUUUAAAAUCAAAUUUACAAUGCUUUAGUAAAUUUUCAUUUAAAAUAACUUUGCAUACAUAAUAUAUCUAUAUGGUUAUUUACAUUGUAUCUAACCCAUCAGUACUUGCAAAGUCUCCUUUUCUGUUAGCCUGAAAAUUGAGUUCUAAAAUACUAUUAUUCACUGUAUCAAAUACUAUAUCAAAAGACAAUCUAAUGGAUUGAUCAAGUAAUACUUAAUUUUUAGUAUUAGUUGCAUGUUAGUACAUAUAUGAUUUUUAUAUAAAAAGUUUAGUUAUUAUGAUUGAUUAGUUUUUAACUUUAAGAAUUUUAAGAUUUACAAUUUUAUUUUUGCAUGUUUAUUUAUAUUGUAGUAACACUGUCGGUAUUUCCACAACUUUUCAAUUGAAUAAGAAAGUUUCAAUCAAACAGGGUACUGAGUGUGCAUACUGCUCCUCAAGACAAUGGAUAAUGGGAAACUUGUAUUGAAAGAAGAUUGUACAUCUUCGGUACCCGCAAUACGGUAUUGUGCAUUGGUUCCCAUCUUAAAAUGGCUCUCUUCCGUAUAGGUGAAAAUAGAAAAGGUUAUGUCCUUUUUUCUAACUCUUAAGACGAAGAGGCUUAAUCGGUUCAAGCAAAGAUGAAUAUGAUCAUUAUGGAGCCGAUCAUGAUAGCGAAUACGAUAAUGCAUAUAAUAAUAAAUAAAAUGAUUUUACUUGUAUUUCAGAAUUAUAUAAAUAAAAAAUUAUCUGUUUAA